RNAcentral lists this ribosomal RNA (241 nucleotides) under uncultured Peptostreptococcus sp. Its description in RNAcentral is "partial 16S ribosomal RNA". It matches the Rfam family "Bacterial small subunit ribosomal RNA", at positions 117 to 356 of the family's 1533-position model. The record is from RNAcentral. Lineage: Bacteria; Bacillati; Bacillota; Clostridia; Peptostreptococcales; Peptostreptococcaceae.
GUGGGUAAACCUGCCCUAUACACAUGGAUAACAUACUGAAAAGUUUACUAAUACAUGAUAAUAUAUAUUUACGGCAUCGUAGAUAUAUCAAAGUGUUAACGGUAUAGGAUGGACCCGCGUCUGAUUAGCUAGUUGGUGAGAUAACUGCCCACCAAGGCGACGAUCAGUAGCCGACCUGAGAGGGUGAUCGGCCACAUUGGAACUGAGACACGGUCCAAACUCCUACGGGAGGGCAGCAGCG